Molecule: long non-coding RNA, 681 nt
Filed under: Heterocephalus glaber (naked mole-rat)
Lineage: Eukaryota; Metazoa; Chordata; Mammalia; Rodentia; Bathyergidae
Description: lncRNA (ENSHGLG00000036759.1)
Source: RNAcentral
GUCUGCUCGUCGUCCCCGUGCUCGGCGCGCUCGGCCCUCCUCCCCCGCCCCAGCUCCGGUCCCUGACGGACCGGGCGGCCGAGCACGUGCAAGGGUGGCCUUCCCGCCCCUGCGCCGGGCUGCCCGGAGCCCGCGACCCCCGCCCGCCGGCCCGGUCAGCUGACCCGGCUCGCCCGCCGCUCCCCGCCCGCCGCCGCGUUUCCGGUCCCCCGGGUCCGGGACUCGCGCUCCGAGAGGAGCGGCGGCGGCCGGGAGGUACUUCUCAUCUCUCUCUGAAGGCUGUUCCCACCCCCAACAGGCUUUCCUGUUUGCAGUCAUCCUGCAUAUCUGUUCUUCUCAUCAUCACUAGAGUGCAUGAGUGACAUAAGACUUACCUCUGACCAUGUCACUGCUCAGCCUAAAACCACUGAGAUUGAACUCGGGUCCUUGUGAUUGUGCAGCAGGCGGCGAAACCACUGAGCUAAAUCCCUGGCCCUGUAACUUAUUUUUUUGGUUAUUAUUCCUAAACAAUAGAGUAUAGGGACCAUUUACAUUGUAUCAAGUAAGAGAAUCUCAAGUAUAUGGGAAGAUGUGCGUAGUUUCUAUACAAAUAUUGUACCAUUGUUACAAGGACUCGGUCACCCAAAGAAUUGGGUAUCAGCCCAGGCCUUGGGCUCCAUCUCCCACGAGUAUCAAGGGGUG